Molecule: long non-coding RNA, 3348 nt
Organism: Anolis carolinensis (green anole)
Lineage: Eukaryota; Metazoa; Chordata; Lepidosauria; Squamata; Anolidae
Source: Ensembl
AUGGAGUCAUUUCGUCGUCCUCCUCCCCUUGCUAUGCAAGGUAAUUUGGCUGAGAACUGGAGACGGUGGGAACAGGCCUUUCAGUUGUAUCUUGCUGCAGCGGGACUUGAGAAUGUGUCAAAGAAGCGGCAGAUAGCUAUCCUGCUACAUUGUGUGGGAGAGGAAGGAGUUUCUUUAUAUAAUACAUUUGUUUUUGCUGAGGAGAACCCGAAAGAUAUUGCAGAGGUUCUGGAACAGUUUAGGACUUAUUUUUUACCUCGGAAGAACAUUGUGUUUGAAAGGUUUUGUUUCUGGAACCAUAUGCAGAGUCCUGGAGUUACAAAUGUGCAAUUUAUUGCUGAGCUAAAACUGAAAGCAGCCAGCUGUGAAUUUGGAAUGGCAGUUAAUGAGAUGAUAAGAGAUAAAGUUGUUUUUAGUUUACAGCAAGAGAAACUGAAACAAAAGUUGUUACAAGAAGCCGAUCUUACACUUGAGAAGGCCGUGGAGAUAUGCCGGGUUGAUGAGACAACGAGAGCUCAACUGAGAACCAUGGCAAUAACAUCGGAAGAAGGAGUGUUUGAAUUACAAGACAGCCAUGGAGAAAACAAAGAGAUUAUAACUCAAGCUCUGGGAACCAGGGAGUCAAGACACAGAGACAAUUGGAAAAAUCAGAAUAAGUGUGGUUAUUGUGGUACAGCUCAUGAACCUCGGAGAUGUCCAGCAUUUGGAAAGACCUGCAACAAGUGUGGCAAGAAAAAUCAUUAUGCCAGGUUAUGCAGGUCAAGGGUGACCAAUCCUGUGAAUAUACAAGCCAGACAACACAUUCAUGAGUUGAAUGUAAGUAAUUUAAUGAUAGGAAAGCUGGAUGAAGAAAUGAAGGAUACACAGAUAACAAACAAGGCAGGAUGGAUUCCUAUUAACGUGCGUCAAGAUCUACAAAGAGCUCAGGAAAGACAGAAACAUUUUUAUGAUCGAACAGCAAGACCCCUCAAACCACUAAGAGAGGGAGAUUUGGUAUGGAUGCAAUCCAAUAAUUGCAAAGAAAGAUGGCUUCCUGCCGUUGUGAUAGAAAAAUGUAAACAGCCUCGGUCAUAUCUAAUAAAGAAUCAGGACGGUCGCGUAUAUCGGCGUAAUAGGCGUCAAUUAAAACAACGGAACCAAACACCCGAAACUACAAUUCAAGGAAAUACAACAUAUAAUGGUUCUAAAGGGAUGUUUGUGAACAAAAGUGACACACAUGUAAUAGCAGAUAGAAAGCCAACGUAUGUGACAUCGCAUGGCAGGCCUGUGUUUGAACCUGUAAGGUACACUCCUUAGAAGGAUGGUGCUGAAGACCAUCCUCAACGGUGGGCUAAGUACUAGUGACCUCUGGCCCCAUAGAAGACAUAUUUUCUUACCUGUCUAGUGAUGUAAUGAAGCUGCCAAGUUUUAAUGAGAGACUUUUGUAAUUUUGAUGUAUGAUUUUUUUAACACUUUUAUAAAAUGUAUUUUGUUUUGUCUUGUCAGAUGUGUAGUUAUUAUGUAUGAAGGGGAGAUGUGGUAUACUGUGCCUUUAAGCCACACUCUCUGGUUGUUACAGCUGUAAUGUAAGAACUACUGAUUGCUGGGAUAUAUGGCUUUUGUGCACCCAAAGCCUCAGUAGCCUUCCUAAUGUUUGGAAUAAACUCUUUCCUACAAGACUCUGCUGGCUGUUGAGCUUCCUUCAUACGAAGAAUAUUACAGUGAUGUCUGGUGUGUUGUGUUCCAGAACUCUGGAUUCGGAACCCCCACAGUAUUAUUAUUAUUAUUAUUAUUAUUAUUAUUAUUAUUAUUAUUAUUAUUAUUAUUUCUUAUCUGCCUCUUCUCACAGCUCGAGGCAGGUUAAAACAUUGCUAAAAACAUACAAUCAAUCAAAACACAUAAUCAUUUAUAAAUAUUCCUUAAAAUACACAAUUUCUUUAAAAAUGGCCAUCUUUCGGGGUGCUUUGAUUGUGCUUUUCUUGCAUGGCAGGGCAUUGUCCUAGAUGGCCCAUGUGAUCUCUUUCAACUCUAUAAUGAUUCUAUUACAAGUAACAUGAGUAAUGGUGAUGGAUCCCAAAUCAUGGAAGACACCAGAUUGUAAGCCAUUCUAAUCAACCUCCCAUUUCUUAUGGUCUUUAAUAAAUGGCAUUUCUAUUUUUAAAUGGAUGGGCCAACCUUUAUUGCCCCUACCCUCAAAAUGUCAAAGAUAGUUCCAGUUCUGUGUUUAUCAUAGCAAAGUUAUAUUCUAUAUCAAUUAUUUUCACCACAAAUACUUUGAGAAUACUUGAACUGGACAUCCAAAUUAUCACUAUUGAUCUGCUUCUUUGAUUUCAUGAAGAGAAAAUCUGAAAUCAAAGCAAUACACAUGAGCUGAAAGCUCAUGCUCAAAAGUUUAUGCCGGUGCAUUUGUAUUCUUGCUGUAUACUGAUACCUUUUCUCAGCAGGAGCCUCUUCAUUAGUAAGUUGUCAAGGCUCUUCUUAAAUCAAUGUUUGUCAAAAUGGGAAAAUGUAUGUACAGUCAAAUAAAAAGGAACUCCUGAGCCAGCAGGUAGGGCCAGAGGAGUAUAGCAUUGAGCAACCUGCAAGAAUCAAAGGUUUCAAAUUUUUAUACUAGGAUAAUUGGUGGACUCUUUCCUUCUCACAUGGGCAGAGUUACCAGCCCUCCAGAGCUGACCUGGAAUUAUUGAGAACUUAACUCUAUCUCCUGGAAAACUGUCAACACGACAGAUCUUGUCUGUAGUCCAGGAAUUUAUCUUGAUAUCCAAGUAUGUGUUGAGAUCAAAAUUGGAGACACAAUAUGCCUAAGUAGGAAGGUGCAAAGAAAUACGAAGAGUGGUGGUGAAUAGUAAGUAAAAACAAAGGAAAGGAAACAUUUAGUCCAAGCCCACCCAUUCAAAAUCAAUUCUAAACACAUAUUGGAAGGGAAACUGAGUUUAAGAUUAUCACCAGAGACCUCAUCACACUAGAGUUUGGAUCCACUUUAAAUCAACUUUAGGGAGGGGCCUUUAAACAGCUCGGCCAGACAGGUCCUGAGCCUCACCAAACUACAAACCCCAGAAUUCUUCAGGAGACAGAAACCGGAUUUAAAGUGGAUCCAUGCUCUGUUGUGAUGAGGCAGAGGCAAUAUGCCCUCCUACAAUAUUAAUUGCAUGCUCCAGUGCACCAAGUAAACUUUGAUGAUGGGAAACAGGAAAACUUUGACCUUCAGUAGGAAACUGGAAUGUGGCAUUAAGAUUUUUUUUACCUCUACAGCAACUAAAGCAUGGGUAACUACAGUGUUUUUGGAGUGUGACUCCCAUCAAAUCUUAUUACUGGCCCUAGGGACUAGAGCCAACGUGAGUUUUAGAGUCAAAACACCAUCUGAAACCC